UGUCUCUGGACCAGUACCACACAGAAGAGGAGAUCUACCAGCUGUCUCUACAGAAAGAGCCACGCAGCACUAAACCGGCGAACUCCGGCUCCUCCCCUGCGCCUGCCCCCCAGCCAACGAUGAUUGACGAGUGGGCUGCGUCGGUGAAGCCCAAAGCCGACUCCUGCGGUCAUCAACAAACACAUAGAGAAGAUGGUGGAUUCUGUCUUCAAGAACUUUGACACUGACGGGGACGGUCACAUCUCCAGGGAGGAGUUUGAGAUCAUCAGGAACAACUUCCCAUACCUCAGCAAGUUUGGAGAACUGG
Oncorhynchus masou masou (cherry salmon) is the source of this 307-nucleotide long non-coding RNA. RefSeq lists it as uncharacterized. The transcript has 3 exons. NCBI's taxonomy places the organism in Eukaryota, Metazoa, Chordata, Actinopteri, Salmoniformes, Salmonidae. The record is from RefSeq and is a predicted model, not a curated record.